RNAcentral lists this non-coding RNA (90 nucleotides) under Megasphaera stantonii. RNAcentral describes it as "TPP riboswitch (THI element)". It matches the Rfam family "TPP riboswitch aptamer (THI element)", at positions 7 to 92 of the family's 105-position model. Rfam says of the family: Vitamin B(1) in its active form thiamin pyrophosphate (TPP) is an essential coenzyme that is synthesised by coupling of pyrimidine and thiazole moieties in bacteria. The previously detected thiamin-regulatory element, thi box was extended, resulting in a new, highly conserved RNA secondary structure, the THI element, which is widely distributed in eubacteria and also occurs in some archaea. Lineage: Bacteria; Bacillati; Bacillota; Negativicutes; Veillonellales; Veillonellaceae. The record is from RNAcentral.
AAGCUAGGGGCGCCGCAAGGCUGAGAAAGCGUUUGGAUUCGCGCUUGUCCCUCAUGUACCUGAUUCGGAUAAUGCCGACGUAGGGAAGCU